Molecule: small RNA, 5777 nt
Filed under: Rattus norvegicus (Norway rat)
Lineage: Eukaryota; Metazoa; Chordata; Mammalia; Rodentia; Muridae
Description: uncharacterized LOC102554752
Source: RNAcentral
AAGCAGCACUCCUCCAUGGCCUCUGCUCAGCUCCUGCCCUGUUUGAGUUCCCGUCCUGGCUUCCAUCAAUGAUGAACUAGAACAUGGGAGUGUGAGCCAAAUAAACCCUUUUCCUUCCCAACUUGUCACGGUGUUUCAUCCCAGCAAUAAAAACUAAGACACCAGGUCCAGUGGUCCUCUCUGGCAAUAUCUCCCUAGCACCACCAACUGGGAAGGCUCUCCUUUCUCCAUUUUGAGUCCUUGGCAUCCUUGUCGGAGGCUUUCUCUCUGUUGCUUUCCAGGACCACGUGAGUCUCUUGACACUUGAGGAGUUAUUUACACACUUAUCAUUUGUUCCAGUCACCUUUCAGCUUCUUUCAGGGCAGGUUGGACCACAGCUAUCACCCACCUUAUCGCAGAGACUGAGGAGAGUAGGAAACCAUAAGACAUGUGCCACUGGCAUUUUAGUACACUAAAGGAAGUUAUCUUUGAGACAAAACCCUCUAGUCGCCGGUAGAUAAAUUCGAUGGGGAGUCAGGCAUCCCUUGGCUGACCAAGUUCCUAUUCUUUAUCUUCUCUCUGUCACUUCUAAGUUCCCAUGACACCAGGCUAUAAAAGCGUUACACGACAUGGAAGCUAUAAAAACUAUAUAUGCUUAAAAGUUGGGAAAAGAUUAAUAUAAGCAUUUCCCACACCCCCGCCUCCUUCCUUCCUAAGAGACGUGAUGCCAGAGAUUCCCAGGACAAAGUGAAGCCACUGUCCCCAGUUAGGGCUACACCUUCUCACUGGGCGAUCAUCCACAAGACGCCACAGUCAGCGGGGUGAUGAUUCACUGAUACUACGAUGGGCUUUGCUCAGGCCCACAAGGGCAGCCCACAGAUCUGUCUCCAGCUGGCAGGGAAACGGCCAUCAGAGAGCAGGCUUGUUUUCCCACUAAUUCUGAGAGUUCUUUUUCCUUGAGGAUUCAAGAACAUUCUCAAGUGACCGCAUCCUAAGGUCUUGCUUGAAGUUCCAUGUGUUUCCCUCAGGAACUGGCCACCUGUCAGAAACCCCUGUGUGGACGUGGACUCAUCUGUAGCAAUGUCUUGAGAAUUUCUACACUCACCAUGUCUACGUGACACUGAGUUUGAAUGUGACUCAAGGUCACCCCAAAGUGUUGCUCACACUUAUUUUACUGCUAUAGUCAAUAUCGAGCUUCAGAGCUCACAUUCACUGACAGACUUCUGACAGAGCCACCACAAACAACCUGAGCGUUAAUCUCUGGUUGGCUGUCGUCACCAACCUCUGAGGGGCUAACCUUUCCCUAGAACUGUGAGACGCUCUGUUACCUGUGUAGGAUGAGGCUCCAAAGUGAAAGGUUUCACAAUAACACAGGACGGUCCCCCAACCCCCAAUCAGGCAGGUACCUGGUUUGAAGCAAGGAACCUGACUUCUGAAACAUGUUUCGGUAGCUCGGCUCUUAACUGCGGCUUUCUAGAUGAGAGAUGAUGAGUUAGGAAGCUUGAUUCAAAUGCUUCGCUCUAGAUGAUCAAAUGCUGACUUCCAGGCAAACAAGAGGGUGCUCUUGCCACAAUAGGGUGUUGGCUAGGUACGGUGGCACAUACUUGUCAUCAUAGCACAUAGAAGGCUGAGGCAGGAGGAUCUUGAGAGUUUGAAGCUUGUCCGGGUUUAAACACAAAAUCUUGCCCUCCCUCUCCCUGAAAAGGUCUUAUUUUUUAUCUCAUUAAGUCUUUUAUUUCUGAAUUUUCCUCUAUCCAGUAUUUAACUUCAAAGAGUUAUUGCUCCAUAGUCAGGCUCAUGAUUACCGAGCAUGUGCAAGGCCCUGGGUUCAAUCCUCAGCACUAUACAGAAAAGGUUAUUGAUUAUUUUGCUUUUCUUCCAAAACAUCACUUGCCUAGCCAGCAGCUCACAAGAGUCAGGUUUUGAGUGAUUGGUGGUUUAUGAGUGAAUGUCCCACUCUAAGUCAAGGUAGGAAUUCAACAGGUGCUGUUAGUGACCCUGGGGAAUAGAAAUGUAAGACCAUCUUAGAUACCGGUGCAUCUGAAAGUCAGCUGGCCUGCACAUGAACUGUACGACUGAUAGGAAAACAAAAGGGCUUAAACCAUUGAACCGUAGCUGCAAUCAGACAGACAAAUAAAACCACACACACACACACACACACACACACACACACACACACACACACACACACACACACACUGGAGUGGAAAACAGCCUCUACAGUCUCAGGCAUUUGAAAAUGUGGCUGUUUGCCCUCUCCCCAGUUGGUGGUGCUGUUCUGUGGAGGUUUUCGAAGGUGAGUGUGUCAAGAACAGCAGAAUUUGAGAUUAAAGCCUCUUCCAACUCUAUUUGGUUUCUCUGCUUGUGGUUCAAGAUAAGAGCUCUCAGCUUCCCACUUCAGUUGCCAUGUCCCUCUUGUCACACGUCCUGCCGCAGUGAGUCCAUCUCUCAGGGACCAUAUAGCCAAAAAAACUGUCUUCUGUAAGUUGCUCUGACCAGAUUGUUUUGUUUUAUGCUGUUUCAUUUUGUCACAGCGAUAGAAAAGUAAAUACUAUAUGAACCAAGGAAGAAUCGGCCUUGUGUAUCUUAAAAUUAUAUUAAAUUCUCAACAUUCUAAUGUUUCAACAUUUAGAUAUAGAAGUAUGAUUUAUCUAAAGCCCUUUGAAAUGACUGCAAAGCUGACAGGUACCCACAAAUUGAAGGUAAAAUUACUUACAGAUCAUCAUGUGCUUUGAUCCCUUUCUGAGUGCUUAGAAAGCCCUCUGGAUUAUCUGGUGGCUUGUUUCAUUCUAAAAGAAUCAAAGAUUCUGAACUGAUGUCAGCUCUUUGUGUAAACAUUUAAACAGUCUCAAAAUGUAAAGCAAUCUUUACUUAAAAGUAACCUUGUCCUGAUAAGUAUUUUGACUGGGAGGUUAACAGACCUGGAAUGGAGAACAACACGGUUCAUUUUUCUCCUUUGCACUGCACGACAUCUAAACCUCGCACACUACUCUUGGGAAUGCUGCUGUUUGUCCAUAGGAAGUGGAAUUCCGUGGGCCGUACUGCAAGUGGAUCUUCAGAUGUGCAGGAUGGGUUACGUCAGCAGUAGGUGGGCCACACUUACUUCUUUGACAACUGCCUACAUUCAGCUUGGCACCCAGGGUGGCUCCCUAAGUGUGUCGACUGACAACAGCCAAAAGUUCAUAUUUCAUCCUUCACUCUGCCCACACACUCCCUCUAUGAGAUGUUCCAUUCUAUAAACAUGUGUUUUCACCUUUAUAAAAGUGGCAAGUCUAAGUGAGUAGAGCCUGUUCCUCUGAGAAACAUGAACCGAAGCGUGGACAGCUGAAGAAUGUUUCCAAACGAGACUGGGUACCUGCCAGGACCCAGAAGGCUGAUCUGAGUCUGCACCAACGGUGAAAGGCGCAGGUGGCUGCAUCUCAUGCCUUAACUUAUGGUGGGAAAAACAGAAGCUCUGGGAGUAGUUUUUCCAACGAGCUUACUUUUGCAUGCCACCUCCACCCCAACAUCUCCCAUCGCCAGAUGAAACAAGAGUGGCUGGCUCCUUAUCGCCACUGAGUAGCUGUUAAGGGUGGUGCUGGCUCUGCCUGCCAGGCUGGCUUCCAAAAUAAACAGAGCUCAGCUUCAGGGUCCCCCACUUCUUUGGACAGAGAGAUAAGAUAAUUAUUUCUCAGAUAAAGCAGAUAAGCCUUGUGAAUAAGAGCCAGCAUUUUUGGGAAAAUAAAGGACAUGAAAACCAGGACCCUAGAUUUUGGAGUCCAUUUAUCUUCUGGAGACAAAAGAAAUGUCUGGAUUGGAACACUUAAUGCCAAGUAGAAUAUAAACUAGAUAAGAGAAUGGGCAUAAUUCCUAAAUAUGACUUAAAUAUACCAUAAACACUUCAUUAUGAAGUGUUGGGAGGGCCACACACCAAUCCCAGGAGGAAGGCUUAAGGCCAAGCAUGGAGCCCACCUUUCUCAUUUGCUCCUUGCCAGAACUAGAGGCAAAUCAACGUAAAUCAAAAACAGGCUGCAACAGACUGGGGCCUUCCAGUAGCAGAACUGCAGACUCACCAGGGACAAGGCAGAAAUUGCUGCUCAAGGCACGGAAUUUGUGGUGCACGUGGUAUAAUUACUAUCUCAAUUAGUAUUGGAUAUUUCCAACACAGGGAACCUGAUAAACUGGGAUCGAUGGACGGAUGAAUGCAUGGGUAGGUAGGUAAAUGGGUGGAUAGGAACUCAAAAAUUCCCAUGGUGACCUUUGGUAUCAAGAAAAUAUAAAUAAGAAUAUUCCUUUAUAGAAUAUGAAGCUAAAUCACACUUAGAUUAAACGCCAGCUAUGAGAAGUGACAAAGGUUUUAUAAAUUAAAAUAAAGAUCUGAGUUACACAACCUGAUAGUAACUUGACAUUUAAAUGCCUACUUUUAAGAACCAGCACAGGAUCCACCAUGGCUAAUUCAAGUUGUUCCAGAUUUAACGUUAACUACAUCAGAAGAAAUCACUGGUCCAUAGCCAAAGGUUUACCUGAGUCCUGUGGAUUUACUUGAGAAUGAGAGCAUUCUGGGGAUUAGAUGGAAAUUAAAAAUCUAGUAGUAUCCAUAGUUGGCCACGUUGGCUCCUGCCUGUAAUCCCAACACUCAGGAGGUGGAUGCAAGAGACUCCGGGUCCAGCCUUGGCUACAUUCUGAGACUGAGCCAAUCUGAGGUGCAUGAGACCCUGGCUCAAAGGGGGGUGGGGCGGGAGGUGUUAUUAAUCCAAACAAGUUCUAAAUUUACCUAAACCUGAAAAAGUCCGCCUUAUUGCCCAAUAUAUGGUAGCAUUAAACAACAUUUCUCUGCGGGUGUGGUGUUGCACUGUUGCUGGGUGGGGAGGCAACUCUGGAAUCCGGUGUACAAAGGAGCUCCUGCUGGUCUCCAAGGUGAGCCUCUCUGUGACCUGUUCUGUCUCACCAGGCUUGUCUAGGCAUCCACUCACACGGCAGACCAGCUCCCCUUCCAAUCUCAGGCAUGUCGGCUCCUACCUAUAAUCCCAACUCUCAGAGGUGGAUGCAAGAGGCUUAGGGGUUCGAGUCUAGCCUAGGCUACACACUGCUAUCCAAGGAAUAGCAGUGGGACAAUUUUUCCCAGAACCCGAGGCCAAGUUCCCUAUUUUGUCUUCCCUUCCUUGUGUGUGUUUAGUAAGUCACGUGCCAGAUGGUGUCUCCUCUGCCACUGUUUUCUGCCUUUGGACAUCAAAAGGAGGUCAGCAGUCAAGUUUUCUUCCCUUUGCUUCUCAGCACAUGGGGAUUUUCGAUGUUCUUCCAGGAGCUCCAGCCCCAAUGGGCAGCCAGGAACGGGAGUAGGAGGCCAGCGGUGACCCGCGCUGAGAGGACCCGUGAGUACAUGCCUGUGUGCUAUUUCCCAUGCUUCCAUCCAAGAACAGGCUGUACGGAGGCGAUGCGUAUGAAUGAAUGCAUCCAUUAUGCCCGUCGCCCUUGCCUAUCCCACUCAAGGCCUGACACUGGCUUAGGUCACCACCCUUGGAUACAAUCUGUGCCAUCAGCCGGGGUGGAGGCUGAUAGACUAUGAGUACUUGGCUUCGUCUGGGUAGCUUCUCAGGUGUGGUUCCUCAGGCACACCCUAAUAACUGACAACGUCUUCUCUUUAAGAGCAAGUUUUGGGCUCUGCUUAUUCCGUUGACUCGGUGAGAGACUGGGGACCAUAUCUUGCUGACUGAUGGCGGCUGCACUGUGUCUGCAUAAGAGGCUGAAUUUCACCGUGGAGCUAGCCCAGCCCUCUAAACUUCAACCACUUGAAAGGUCUCCAUCAAAACACUUUCUGG